AGAAACUAUCCAUGGAAAAAAAUCAAACACACAGCAAUGAGAAAAAACAAGAACCAGGAAACUUGAAGUGGUAUAAAGGCAGGAUGAUUGGCAGGUCAGACAAAUAUAUGGCUCAUAAGUAAUGCUUACUUCCCACAUUUACUUGAUUCAGUGUGUUUGGUUGAGGCUUCUAAAGAAGCUAUUGUGAGCUAUGGCUAUGAAAAAAAUGAUGUGGGCUGCGGGCUGUGAAAAAGUUAUAAACUAUUUGGUUCAAACACUAAAAUCUACUUCCUGUCUCUACCUAAAAGUGAAAAGCUCUAUUUUCACCAUUUCAAAUGCAGAAAGCCAAAAGCAGGGUUCAACGUCGUACUCCUUUGGUUGAACACCACCCACUUGUUAUUACACAUAAAACAGUUCUUUUUUCCUUCUCGCAAGUUCAUCUUCCCGUCGCUCGCCACUUGCUGCUCCAACAAAGCCUGCAUCUGCUCCCGCUCCUGACAGCCCUCUCCCUCCCUGACACUGACCCUGGAAGUGACGAUACCCUCCCCUCUCCAACCUGCCACUCCAGCUCCCACUCCAUGGCCGCGCGAGCAGGGGCCAUGCCCUCCAUGACCCUCCCAGUCCCAAGCUAGCCAUGCUGACCACACCCAGCUGGCCGCUUGCUCUGGCAAUUAUUUUCUUUUUUAUAGGAGGAAGAAAAGACUUCACACAACUAUUUGAUUCAUCAUUCCUUGCCACUUCUUUACGAAAACACAGCAUCAGCAGUGCACCAAUAUUCAUCAAUGGGUUACUUAUAAAAGGUUAGCAGAAUGCAGACGAACACUGUUGUGGACUGGCAGGUCAGACAGAAUGUAUGCCUCAAAAGUUAAGCUCAUAAGAUAGCUUCGCACAUCUAAUUGGUUCAUCACUCCUGCCAACCAGAUGCACUGAAUGCAAUUGAAACAAAGACCACUUCUUUAUGAAAACACAGCAUCAGCAGUGCACCAAUAUUCAACAAUGGGUUACUUAUAAAAGGUUAGCCGAAUGCAGACGAACACUGUUGUGGACUGGCAGGUCAGACAGAAUGUAUGCCUCAAAAGUUAAGCUCAUAAGAUAGCUUCGCACAUCUAAUUGGUUCAUCACUCCUGCCAACCAGAUGCACUGAAUGCAAUUGAAACAAAGACCACUUCUUCAUGAAAACACAGCAGCAGCAGUGCACCAAUAUUCAACAAUGGGUUACUUAUAAAAGGUUAGCAGAAUGCAGACGAACACUGAUGUGGACUGGCAGGUCAGACAGAAUGUAUGCCUCAAAAGUUAAGCUCACAAGAUAGCUUCGCACAUCUAAUUGGUUCAUCACUCCUGCCAACCAGAUGCACUGAAUGCAAUUGAAACAAAGACCGCUUCUUUAUGAAAACACAGCAUCAGCAGUGCACCAAUAUUCAACAAUGGGUUACUUAUAAAAGGUUAGCAGAAUGCAGACGAACAAUGUUGUGGACUGGCAGGUCAGACAGAAUGUAUGCCUCAAAAGUUAAGCCCAUAAGAUAGCUUCGCACAUCUAAUUGGUUCAUCACUCCUGCUAACCAGAUGCACUGAAUGCAAUUGAAACAAAGACCACUUCUUCAUGAAAACACAGCAGCAGCAGUGCACCAAUAUUCAAUAAUGGGUUACUUAUAAAAGGUUAGCAGAAUGCAGACGAACACUGUUGUGGACUGGCAGGUCAGACAGAAUGUAUGCCUCAAAAGUUACGCUCAUAAGAUAGCUUCGCACAUCUAAUUGGUUCAUCACUCCUGCCAACCCAAUGCACUGAAUGCAAUUGAAACAAAGAUAGUGGAUUGUCACAAGUGGACACAAACUGAUUGCUAUGAAACAAAGAUAAUGGGUAGUCACAAGUGAACGCAAAGGAAUGGGAAAUGUCCCACCCGUGAAAAUCAACUGCUGGAGUGGACUAGGCAGAUGACAAAGUAUGGGUGGGUGUCAAUCUCUGGAGCCAUGGGUGAACCCAAUGCCACACAUAUAGGUCGGCGAGUCAAUAACCCAC
RNAcentral lists this long non-coding RNA (1996 nucleotides) under Zea mays. Its description in RNAcentral is "long non-coding RNA (ZMAY_LNC001146)". Lineage: Eukaryota; Viridiplantae; Streptophyta; Magnoliopsida; Poales; Poaceae. The record is from RNAcentral.